Peromyscus eremicus (cactus mouse) is the source of this 587-nucleotide long non-coding RNA. RefSeq lists it as uncharacterized. The record is from RefSeq and is a predicted model, not a curated record. NCBI's taxonomy places the organism in Eukaryota, Metazoa, Chordata, Mammalia, Rodentia, Cricetidae. The transcript is spliced from 3 exons.
GAGAAAUAAAGAGAGAUAAGGACAGAGAAAUGACCACUGGCUUUGGCAGUACCAAGGAGUCCAAUAUGAGGUAUUAAGGGGAUUAAGAUGGAAGAUGGAGCCUCAGAGAGCUGGAGACUAUGAACAACACAACCAGGUGGCAAAACCGGUCAGGGAACCCAGAUAUCUAAAUUCUGAGCUCUUCUACGUUUAUUCCUCCAGUGUCGGGGUCCUAUUGUCUAGACAUAGGACGUGUGCUAUCCUGGGAUGAAGAAGGACUUACAGAAAUGGAGGCUUACUCAGAGAGAAGGCUCAGGAUGGUUAUUCUGAGAAACUGCACCCAGAAAUAGCUCUGGAAAUCUGUUCUUCGGCUGAAGAAGUUUCCAUCAGUCUGCAGCAGUGGAGAGGAAGCAGCGGACGCAGACAGAAGCUUCCUGGAUCUGCCUCCAAAGAGUCUGGGAGCACCUCCCCAGGCAGAGGUGACCACGUGGCCUUCUGAGGCCCUCCUGGCCUGGCAGGGCAGCCUCUGGUCAUCCAAGCCAGCACUCCCUUGGCCGAAGUCCUCACCUGCCCACAUCCAGGAAACCCCCAAACCUUAGUCCUUUGUU